This 253-nucleotide ribosomal RNA is filed under the name uncultured bacterium. RNAcentral describes it as "partial 16S ribosomal RNA". It matches the Rfam family "Bacterial small subunit ribosomal RNA", at positions 524 to 776 of the family's 1533-position model. The record is from RNAcentral.
UACAGAGGUCCCAAGCGUUGUUCGGAUUCACUGGGCGUAAAGGGUGCGUAGGUGGCUUGGUAAGUUUGAUGUGAAAUCUCCGGGCUUAACCCGGAAAUGGCAUUGAAUACUAUUGAGCUGGAGGUUUGGAGGGGGGACUGGAAUUCUCGGUGUAGCAGUGAAAUGCGUAGAUAUCGAGAGGAACACCAGUGGCGAAGGCGAGUCCCUGGACAACACCUGACACUGAGGCACGAAAGCGUGGGGAGCAAACAGG